UACGCCCAUAUACUAUACUUUUAACAUAUAUAGUACAUAGAUUUACUCAUUUGUACACGCCUACCAAAAAAUAAAUUACCGUAGAUUGUUGUAUUUUUUAGACGUGAGCAAACAGCGGUUUGAUGAAAAACAAGGGUCAGUUUAAAGGUCAAAGUUGACGAAAAGCUUGUAGUGCUAACAAACUUGACGUUUUGACUGUAAAAGGCCGCGUCCUGACCGCGUGCCCAGUCGUAUGUUUAUUCUGUCGUAUAUAUACGAAAAAGAGGUAGGAGAGUGGAGGGGAGGAGGUUUAAAAGAAAGUAAUAAUCGAACACAUAAAGAGGAUCUACUUAUGAGUGUCUUGUUUGUGUACAUGAAACUGUUGACUGUCGAUUGAAAACUAUUCUAAACGCCGCUCUUCAAAAUGUUCUCAAAAUGAAAUAGGAUCGGACCGAUCGAUUCGAAUAUGACCACUCACGUUCGAAUUGAGGGCGGGUCUCUUUCAUUAUUUCUUUCUUUAAAAGUCUUAUAACCUCUUCUUUUUUCCAUUCAUUCUUUUUUUCUCUCUCACUCUUUCUAUCAUUCUUUUCUCAUUCUUCCUUUUAAUCUUUUUUCGGCUGAUUAGGCGCUUAUUGAUACAGGUGUUUCAAUUACUGAUUAGCCUUAUCUAUAACGCAGAUGGAGACUACGAUGCAACAAGCAAAAUCUUUGGGCUUUAGCAUGAAGGAUAUCUUGGAUAUGCCGAACAACUCUACUGGAUCACCAAGCGUACUACAAGACAACCCCUACGCUCAAUGGCUGGCGGAUCAUCAACCUUUUUCCAUGCACCAGCAAUCGACGACUGCAGUCGGAGAUGAACAACGUCAAAGAAAGACUCCAUCGAGCCCGUCAGAUCACGGUAGCGCUGUUCACGACUCGUCGCCCAAUAAACACGAAGAUGAUGAAGAGGAGGAGGAUGAUAGUGAGGUAAAUUCCGAGAAUGAAAAUCAAGAGAAUUCAACGUCGACCACCGACGAACCAAAGACCGACGGUCCUCCUAAAAAGAAAAAGCGUCGAGUACUGUUUUCCAAGGCACAAACAUACGAAUUAGAACGUCGUUUUAGGCAACAACGUUACUUAUCCGCCCCAGAAAGGGAGCACUUGGCAAGCAUCCUUCGACUCACGCCCACUCAGGUAAAAAUUUGGUUCCAGAAUCAUAGAUAUAAAUUGAAAAGGGCAAGACAAGAAAAGGGCUUACAUGACGCCAUAAACCCCUUACCAUCACCAAGAAGGGUUGCUGUUCCUGUGCUAGUUAGGGACGGCAAGCCAUGCCAUCCAAUUCCAAGACCUCCACAUCAUCAUCAACCACAUCCGUCCAUGGCGGCUAUGGCUCCAUAUGCGCAAAGCGACUUUAUUGCAGCGGCACCAUCCUGCGCUUUAGGUUCAUGUUCGCCAUUUUCAUCAUCACCCUACUGCCCUCCUCCUCCUCCUACCGUGCCUUCCUACAGUAUGCCUCCUCCGCCGCCCCCCUCCUACGGACAACUGGGGUCGCGUUCAGCGGCUUGGUGGUAGAAAAACUAUUAAUUUAUACUUACG
This 1554-nucleotide unclassified non-coding RNA is filed under the name Dimorphilus gyrociliatus. RNAcentral describes it as "homeobox domain-containing protein". Lineage: Eukaryota; Metazoa; Annelida; Polychaeta; Dinophilidae. The record is from RNAcentral.